AUACUUACCUGGACGGGGUCUAUGGUUGAUCAUGAAGGUCCAUGGCCUAAGGUAAUAACUUCCAUUGCACAUUGGAAGGGUAUUCCUUUAAGGUCUGUCAAUAAUGACAGAGCCUACGUCAUAAUUUGUGGUAGUGGGGCAUGCGUUCGCGCAGCUCCUUC
This 161-nucleotide small nuclear RNA is filed under the name Phaseolus vulgaris (common bean). RNAcentral describes it as "snRNA U1". It matches the Rfam family "U1 spliceosomal RNA". From Rfam's summary of the family: U1 is a small nuclear RNA (snRNA) component of the spliceosome (involved in pre-mRNA splicing). Its 5' end forms complementary base pairs with the 5' splice junction, thus defining the 5' donor site of an intron. There are significant differences in sequence and secondary structure between metazoan and yeast U1 snRNAs, the latter being much longer (568 nucleotides as compared to 164 nucleotides in human). Lineage: Eukaryota; Viridiplantae; Streptophyta; Magnoliopsida; Fabales; Fabaceae. The record is from Rfam by way of RNAcentral.